RNAcentral lists this ribosomal RNA (1009 nucleotides) under Distoseptispora multiseptata. RNAcentral's name for it is "SSU rRNA". It matches the Rfam family "Eukaryotic small subunit ribosomal RNA", at positions 86 to 1104 of the family's 1831-position model. The record is from RNAcentral. Lineage: Eukaryota; Fungi; Ascomycota; Sordariomycetes; Distoseptisporaceae.
ACUGCGAAUGGCUCAUUAAAUCAGUUAUCGUUUAUUUGAUAGCACCUUACUACUUGGAUAACCGUGGUAAUUCUAGAGCUAAUACAUGCUGAAAAUCCCGACUUCGGAAGGGAUGUAUUUAUUAGAUUAAAAACCAAUGCCCUCCGGGGCUCACUGGUGAUUCAUGAUAACUUCUCGAAUCGCAUGGCCUUGCGCCGGCGAUGGUUCAUUCAAAUUUCUGCCCUAUCAACUUUCGACUGCUGGGUCUUGGCCAGCAAUGGUGACAACGGGUAACGGAGGGUUAGGGCUCGACCCCGGAGAAGGAGCCUGAGAAACGGCUACUACAUCCAAGGAAGGCAGCAGGCGCGCAAAUUACCCAAUCCCGACACGGGGAGGUAGUGACAAUAAAUACUGAUACAGGGCUCUUUCGGGUCUUGUAAUUGGAAUGAGUACAAUUUAAAUCCCUUAACGAGGAACAAUUGGAGGGCAAGUCUGGUGCCAGCAGCCGCGGUAAUUCCAGCUCCAAUAGCGUAUAUUAAAGUUGUUGCAGUUAAAAAGCUCGUAGUUGAACCUUGGGCCUGGCCGGCCGGUCCGCCUCACCGCGUGCACUGGUUCGGCCGGGCCUUUUCCUCUGGCGAGCCCCAUGCCCUUCACUGGGCGUGCGGGGGAACCAGGACUUUUACUUUGAAAAAAUUAGAGUGUUCAAAGCAGGCCUAUGCUCGAAUACAUUAGCAUGGAAUAAUAGAAUAGGACGUGCGGUUCUAUUUUGUUGGUUUCUAGGACCGCCGUAAUGAUUAAUAGGGACAGUCGGGGGCAUCAGUAUUCAAUUGUCAGAGGUGAAAUUCUUGGAUUUAUUGAAGACUAACUACUGCGAAAGCAUUUGCCAAGGAUGUUUUCAUUAAUCAGGAACGAAAGUUAGGGGAUCGAAGACGAUCAGAUACCGUCGUAGUCUUAACCAUAAACUAUGCCGACUAGGGAUCGGACGAUGUUAUUUUUUGACUCGUUCGGCACCUUACACGAAAGUACAAGU